AAUCCUGACACGCUCCACAACAGCUGAUGCUCCUGGACAGGUUGGAGUAACCAGCAUCCCUCCACUCACCAACCCUCCAUCAUCCCUGCCAACCAGCCACCCAUCAGCCAACUGGCCGCUUGUCCUCUCAAACAACCCUCCACCAGUCCUGCCAUGCAGCCUCCCAGUGCCAUGUUGAAUCAGGAAGCAACCAUUCAAUCACUGGAGGAGAGAAGUAUUACCCGGUGAAGAAGGGGAACGUAAUGGAACUGGUGGAGCGGGAGCCCUGUUCCAUGUGUGGGAAGACGUGGCGCUUGCAGUGUGUGCCAAAGGAGAACACCGGGAGUUGACAUACAUACACACAACAUGAAUAUACACAAAACGCAUACACACACACAAAUGUGACAUAAAAGGUUCAAUGUUAA
Molecule: long non-coding RNA, 404 nt
Organism: Hippoglossus stenolepis (Pacific halibut)
Lineage: Eukaryota; Metazoa; Chordata; Actinopteri; Pleuronectiformes; Pleuronectidae
Exons: 5
Source: RefSeq, a predicted model, not a curated record